AAUCAACGCUGGCGGCGUGCCUAACACAUGCAAGUCGAACGCGAAAGUCUCCUCGGAGGCGAUUAGAGUGGCGUACGGGUGAGUAACGCGUGGGUAAUCUGCCCUUGGGUGGGAGUAACCAUCGAAGAUUGGCUAAUACCGCAUAAUGCAGCGGCUCGACAUCGAGACAGUUGUUAAAGCAGCAAUGCGCCUGAGGAGGAGCCUGCGUCNGAUUAGCUAGUUGGUGGGGUAAUGGCUCACCAAGGCUACGAUCAGUAGCUGGUCUGAGAGGACGGCCAGCCACAAUGGCACUGAAACACGGGCCAUACUCCUACGGGAGGCGAGCAGUGGGGAAUUUUGCGUCAAUGGGCGAAAGGCCUAGACGCAGCAACGCCGCGUGAAGGA
RNAcentral lists this ribosomal RNA (384 nucleotides) under uncultured bacterium. RNAcentral's name for it is "bacterial SSU rRNA". It matches the Rfam family "Bacterial small subunit ribosomal RNA", at positions 32 to 408 of the family's 1533-position model. The record is from RNAcentral.